This 544-nucleotide long non-coding RNA is filed under the name Elaeis guineensis (African oil palm). RNAcentral's name for it is "long non-coding RNA (EGUI_LNC055157)". Lineage: Eukaryota; Viridiplantae; Streptophyta; Magnoliopsida; Arecales; Arecaceae. The record is from RNAcentral.
AGGUGGUGUGCCCAAGGCCCAGGGGACCAAGGCUAAGGCCAAGGUCCAUCAUUCAUGAGGGCUUCAUGGAGGCUCUAGGGCUAGUUGGGCCCUAGGUUGAAAGGCUGUGGGCCUUUCGGGUUCUUGAGGUCUAGGUUAUGUGGGCCUCAAGGGACCAACUCUUUAUGGGUCAGGUCUAGGCCCAGGAUAGGUGAGAUUAGUUCGAGUCAUGGAUGUACAUAGGCUUAGGUUAACCUAAUCUCCCAUAGAGUUGGUCAAGGGAGUUUUGGGUUUGGGUCACUUGACCCUGUGUUUAUAUAUACAUGUACUGUAUAUAGGUUGAAUUAAAAGCCAAGAAAAUACAAGACUCUUUCUCCCAAGUCUCUCUCUCUCUUCUCCCUCUCUCUCCAGCAAUUCUCCAUGCCCCAGGAGCAAGAAACCCUAGGGUUUCUUGCCGCCAGUCCAUAAAAGGAAAGAGAAGAAGGGGAGGUGCUAGCCCUCUCCCCCUUGCAGCCGCCUACCAGAUCUGCUCUCCCCCUCUUGCAAGCAUCCAAACACUAGGUUC